UCUUCGGAGAGUACAUAAGUGGCGGACGGGUGAGUAAUAUGUAGAGAAUCUGCCCUACGAGAGGGGGACGAACAGAGGGAAACUUACUGCUAAUACCCCACUAUGAGCGUAGUUGAAAUGCUAUUCUUGAAAACUCCGGUGCUCUGGGAUGAGUCUGCAUCUGAUUAGCUAGUUGGGGGUGGUAAUGGACCACCAAGGCGACGAUCAGUAGCUGGUUUGAGAGGAUGAUCAGCCACAAUGGGACUGAGACACGGCCCAUACUCCUACGGGAGGCAGCAGUAGGGAAUUUUGCGCAAUGGGGGAAACCCUGACGCAGCAACGCCGCGUGACCGAUGAAGCCCUUCGGGGUGUAAAGGUCUGUCAGUGGGGACGAAACUUGACGGUACCCACAGAGGAAGCAUCGGCUAACUCCGUGCCAGCCGCCGC
This 426-nucleotide ribosomal RNA is filed under the name uncultured bacterium. RNAcentral describes it as "bacterial SSU rRNA". It matches the Rfam family "Bacterial small subunit ribosomal RNA", at positions 77 to 518 of the family's 1533-position model. The record is from RNAcentral.